GUCAGAGGGGGGUAGAAUUCCACGUGUAGCAGUGAAAUGCGUAGAUAUGUGGAGGAAUACCAAUGGCGAAGGCAGCCCCCUGGGAUAACACUGACGCUCAUGCACGAAAGCGUGGGGAGCAAACAGGAUUAGAUACCCUGGUAGUCCACGCCCUAAACGAUGCUGACUAGUUGUUCGGGAUUUACAUCCUGAGUAACGUAGCUAACGCGUGAAGUCAGCCGCCUGGGGAGUACGGUCGCAAGAUUAAAACUCAAAGGAAUUGACGGGGACCCGCACAAGCGGUGGAUGAUGUGGAUUAAUUCGAUGCAACGCGAAAAACCUUACCUACCCUUGACAUGUCACUAACGAAGUAGAGAUACAUUAGGUGCUCGUAAGAGAAAGUGAACACAGGUGCUGCAUGGCUGUCGUCAGCUCGGUGUCGCGAGAUGUUGGGUUAAGUCCCGCAACGAGCGCAACCCUUGUCUUUAGUUGCUACGCAAGAGCACUCUAAAGAGACUGCCGGUGACAAACCGGAGGAAGGUGGGGAUGACGUCAAGUCCUCAUGGCCCUUAUGGGUAGGGCUUCACACGUCAUACAAUGGUGCAUACAGAGGGUUGCCAA
RNAcentral lists this ribosomal RNA (600 nucleotides) under uncultured bacterium. Its description in RNAcentral is "bacterial SSU rRNA". It matches the Rfam family "Bacterial small subunit ribosomal RNA", at positions 650 to 1253 of the family's 1533-position model. The record is from RNAcentral.